CAUGACUUGUGUCUUGAAUGAGAACUUGUUCCUUCCUCAGAACAUGUUCUUGAUGAGAAUUCUACCCACAACCCCACAGGCAGUCACGUCCUGCAGCAGAUGGCAGCACUGGAGUGGCAAUCGGCAGAGAGGAGAUACCCCACGUCCAAGGUCGGAAAAGCCCCAGUAAGACGGUAAGCGCUGGAGCAGCUGCGAGGAGCUACCCCACAUCCAAGGGCAAAGGAGAAGCUCCAGCAAGACGGUAGAAGGGGCGAAUUCGCGUUUAGAAUCAAACCUCGGUUCCGCCAGAGACACUCAGAAGGCUCAAACAGACCUUGUGCGCACUGGGACCCAGGGACUACACAGAGACAGAGACAGAAUUGUGUUUGAGUGUCUCCAGUGGAGGGGAUAUUACAGACCUAGGGAUUGAACCUGGAUCUCCUGCGUCUCCUUCAUCGGCAGGUGAAUUCUUCACCACUACACCACUUGGAAGUCCCUUGCCUUAAAGUAGGAGAAGCUCUAAAAGACCAUCCCAGCAAUAAAGCUAAGUAUGGGCUCAAACUUUUGUUGAGACCCAUUGCAGCUCAAGUCUUCCAUCUGUACAAUCCUGCUCCUUUACCCUGUACUGCUGUUGAUCUUCAAAAUUGUCCCCAAUAAAUGCCUUACACACCUAU
Odocoileus virginianus texanus is the source of this 653-nucleotide long non-coding RNA. RefSeq lists it as uncharacterized. Lineage: Eukaryota; Metazoa; Chordata; Mammalia; Artiodactyla; Cervidae. The record is from RefSeq and is a predicted model, not a curated record.